Molecule: ribosomal RNA, 482 nt
Filed under: uncultured bacterium
Lineage: Bacteria
Description: partial 16S ribosomal RNA
Rfam family: Bacterial small subunit ribosomal RNA
Source: RNAcentral
AUUGAACGCUGGCGGCAUGCUUUACACAUGCAAGUCGAACGGCAGCGCGGGGCAACCUGGCGGCGAGUGGCGAACGGGGGAGUAAUAUAUCGGAACGUACCCAGAAGUGGGGGAUAACGUAGCGAAAGUUACGCUAAUACCGCAUACGAUCUACGGAUGAAAGUAGGGGACCGCAAGGCCUUAUGCUUUUGGAGCGGCCGAUAUCUGAUUAGCUAGUUGGUGAGGUAAAGGCUCACCAAGGCGACGAUCAGUAGCUGGUCUGAGAGGACGACCAGCCACACUGGAACUGAGACACGGUCCAGACUCCUACGGGAGGCAGCAGUGGGGAAUUUUGGACAAUGGGCGCAAGCCUGAUCCAGCAAUGCCGCGUGAGUGAAGAAGGCCUUCGGGUUGUAAAGCUCUUUUGUCAGGGAAGAAACGGUAGAGGCUAAUAUCCUUUGCUAAUGACGGUACCUGAAGAAUAAGCACCGGCUAACUACGUG